UUGGUAAGGGUUUGGUUUAGGGUUUAGGAUUUGAAUUAAGGUUUGAUUUAGGAUUUAGAGUUUGAUUUAGGAUUUAAAAUUUGGUUUAGGAUUUGGUUAGGAUUUAUUUAGGAUUUAGAGUUUGGUUAGGAUUUGAUUUAGAAUUUAGGAUUUAGUUAGGAUUUGGUUUAGGAUUUAGAAUUUGGAUUAGGAUUUGGUUAGGAUUUGAUUUAGGAUUUAGGAUUUGAUUUAGGAUUUGGUUGGGAUUUGAUUUAAGAUUUGUUUAGGGUUUGAUUUAGGAUUUAAGAUUUUAUUAGGAUUUAAGAUUCAAUUAAUUUUGGCAUAAAGUUUGAAUAAAGUUCAACAGGAUUUUAACUAGAAUUAAAUUAAGAUUGAAUUGAAAUAUAUUUGAGUGAUAUUUGUGAUCCUUUUAAUAUUUCUUUAAGAAU
This 428-nucleotide long non-coding RNA is filed under the name Physcomitrium patens. Its description in RNAcentral is "long non-coding RNA (PPAT_LNC014609)". The record is from RNAcentral. Lineage: Eukaryota; Viridiplantae; Streptophyta; Bryopsida; Funariales; Funariaceae.